CAUGGGCGCGACGCUUUCAGACAGAAGACACACAGAAAGAGAAAAGCAGAAAGAGAAUAACAGUAGCAUCGAAUGCAGCGAGCCAGGAACCAUGGAUCUGAAAUUCGCUUCAUCAAGAAAAUACAUUUCCAUCAGUGUACCUUCCAAAUCUCAAACUAUGUCUCCUCAUAUCAAAUCAGUGGAUGAUGUCGUAGUUCUUGGCAUGAAUCUCAGCAGAUUUAACAAACCUACUCAAUUUUUCAUCUGUGUUUCUGGAGUUUUUAUGUUUUAUCUAAUCUAUGGAUAUUUACAGGAAUUGAUAUUUUCAGUGGAAGGUUUUAAACCUUUUGGUUGGUACCUCACUUUAGUGCAAUUUGGAUUUUAUUCCAUUUUUGGACUAAUAGAAUUGCAGUUGAUUCAGGACAAAAGGAGAAGAAUUCCUGGCAAAACCUACAUGAUUAUAGCGUUUUUGACAGUGGGAACUAUGGGUUUGUCAAAUACCUCUUUAGGAUAUCUGAAUUACCCUACUCAAGUCAUCUUCAAGUGCUGUAAACUCAUUCCAGUAAUGAUAGGCGGGGUUUUUAUACAAGGAAAACGUUAUAACAUUGUAGAUGUGUCUGCUGCCCUAUGUAUGAGUCUUGGAUUAAUAUGGUUUACUUUAGCUGACAGCACAGUUGCACCAAACUUCAACUUGACAGGUGUGGUCCUAAUAUCCCUUGCCCUCUGCGCAGAUGCAGUUAUAGGAAAUGUACAGGAAAAAGCUAUGAAGUUGCACAAUGGUUCUAAUUCAGAAAUGGUUUUGUAUUCCUAUUCAAUAGGUUUUGUGUAUAUUUUAUUUGGAUUAACAUGCACUAGUGGAUUAAGCCCUGCAGUAACAUUUUGCUCAAAGCAUCUAGUUCAGACUUACGGUUAUGCAUUCCUUUUCUCCCUGACUGGGUAUUUUGGCAUAUCCUUUGUUCUAGCUUUGAUUAAAAUCUUUGGUGCCCUUCUCGCUGUAACAGUAACAACAGGAAGAAAAGCAAUGACAAUUGUGCUUUCUUUUUUGUUCUUUGCAAAGCCAUUUACAUUACAGUACGUGUGGUCAGGCUUACUUGUUGUCCUUGGUAUAUUUCUUAAUGUUUACAGUAAGAAUAUGGAUAAAAUCAAACUGCCUUCACUGCAUGGUCUUUGGAAAAAAACUGUGGAAGAGAGAAAAACAAGGACGUUGUCACAAACUGUAUAGACAGCGGUUUAUGCCUUGUCUAGACUUUGACUUCCUAUUUUAUUGGAACAGUCUUCAACUGAUUCACUUUCCAAAGGGAACAUUAUUAAAACCAAAGGAGCUGAAGGCAUAUUGUCUCCUUACAGAUUGCUCUGCUGCAUGAUUGAUUGUGUCCUGGAUAAGGUAGAGAGGUGCGAAUUUGAUGAACAGAUACACCUUGAAAGAGAAGGAUGGCCUGCUGUGACCUUCCAUUUUCAUGUUACAGCCAAAGUUUUAUGGUAAGGUACGAUAAAGUUUUACAAUUUCAGAUUUGGUGUAAGAGUGCAUUUGACCAGGUCAAGUGGAUUGAUACACUUCUUUCUGCGUAAUAUUUAUGAACUCUUACAUUCCCUUGUAUUCUUUUCACGACAUGAAGUUGCUCUUUCCAGUGAGGGUAAGGUAAUUUUACAGUCUCAGUUCUGCCAUCUGUAAACUCUGUCGCUAAACUUUAUUGAACUUCAGGAAAACAAACUAUGUGAAAGCUACCAUACAUGCAGAAAGUCAUAGAAAAUAUAAUUCAUUUGGCAUCUGUUUUAUUUAAAUAGGUGAGAAGUCACAAAGUUUCUGACCAGAAAUCAAAUGCCAUAUGUAAGUUUCCAAGCAGUUUAUAUAAUCCAGUUUUGUCUCCAUUUUCUCUCCCUGGAGAACACAGCUUUCACAAUAAUUCACCUUUUAACUUAUUCUCCAUUGUAUACGAGAUUGAGUUAAUGAAGCUCACGUUAGGGGAAGUUUUGAUUUAUUUUUUUAUUAAUUUUCUUAACUGUAGAAAUGUAUGUUUUGUUUUACAGGUGUACUUUAAAAAUUAUUUUUAUACACAAAUGAAUAUUGUAAGUUUACUGUUAAUAGUCAAUUUAAGAGUCAGCUCUUUAUUUUCAUAGGUGUGAGUCUAGUACUUGCAAAUCAACAAUAUGUGUGAUAAAGAAAAUGCAGACACAAGUGAGAAUAGUUCAUAAUUUGCCACCUGUCAUGGUCUGUGCAGUUUCAUGCUUUUAUUAAGAAAACCUUCAUUUCAGUGAAAUGCUGUUUGUGGGGUUUUUUUAACAGGCUUCAUAGUGCAUGCAAGGAAGAGAACCUUACAAAACUACAAGUGUUCUUAUUACAAAAUUUUGGUUUAGACUCUUCUGUACUGUAUAUGUAUGUUGGUUUUGUGUCUGUGAAAUAUGAAUAAGGGCUUGUCCACAAAAUAACUGUUAAGUCUUUAUUUUUUGUGUAAGAGCAGUUAUAUUGAGGUGUUGUUUAACCCUUCCUGGUAACAAUAACUAUUCCAUUUUAUACUCAUUGGCUCUUGGACUCUUUACAGUAAGCAUGAUGAAACCACAGAAAAAUACAUUCAUUUCUCUUACCAGAAGAUUUAUUAAGUAAAUAUAAUGUGAAAUAGUUGCUGCUUAUUCUUAUGCUACACAACUUUCUCCUCUCUACAAAAAAAUGUACAAUGUAAAAAUUAGUUAUAAUGGCAUUGAAAUUCACAGUAAAAUUUAAGUCUGACCAGGGUCUCCAUUGAUGUCAGCAAUCUACCUCUGUGACACCCUCUACUUCUGCCUCUUUUCUUAAAUUAGCAUGCAUUUGCAGUUGCUUUCACAUUACAUUUUUGCAUUUAUUUAGCACACUUCAGUAACAAGGUAAUUGACUGUGCAGUAGAUUUCUUCAUUAUUUCUUCAUUCAGUAUGUCAGUAUCACUAGAACUGCUAAUUAUUCAGGUACCUGAAUACAUGUGUGAGAGGACUAAUGCCCUGAGCCUGCACCCCUGCUCCCCAAAACUACACCAUUUUCUGAUACUGCAUUAAACUGGUUUUUGUAAUCUUGUGUUAACACUCCUGUGCUUUGAACUUACCAGACAUUUUAAGUUAAACUUAGGCAUACAUCAUUCCUACUUGUCUUCCUUACUUCCUUGCUUGUCUUUCUUACUUUAACUCCCUUUUUAGCAUGCUGUGUUUAUGCACUGUGCAUUGUUUCAGGUUUAUAUCCCUGCAUUUAAGGGCUUGCAUCAUAUUAUUGCAGGUUGGUCACAUUCCAUACUUUCUAUUUCAUAUCAGUCAUAACCAUCUGGAUGAUUCUUUUAAAUCCUCUUUUCUCCAUGAAAAAAAUCUUUCCUUUCAUACAUUCCGUUAUUUUUGGAAAGGUCUUGAUGAGUACACGUAUGAGUUAACUCCUUGACCUCAUUCCAUCUUCCAAGAAAAUCUCUCUUCUCCCUUGCUUGCCUUUGAGUACUAAGGGAAGAGGAAAUAAAUUAUUGCAAGUGCUCUUUUUUUCUUUAAUAAGUGCCUUCCAUACUAACCUGGUGUGUCUUUAAUUGUUUCUUUUUUUUUUUCUGCCUCCCAUGCUCCCAGGCAGAAACAAGCCCUUGUCUCAUGUUUGACCGCUGCUUGUUCAGUCAUGGAAACUUUUUGAGUUGUUUACUGUUCUGAAAAGAGGUAUAAAAUUGCAUGUAUACUCUGGAGGGCAGGAAAUAAUAAGUAAACUUCACAAGUUAAGGAAGUAAUUAAAUGGAUUAAUACUUUUUUCUGGAGGGAUUUUAUAUAUGGUUUAGGUAAUAGCUCGGAAUUUGUUAGUGGAAGGGGUUUUUUUUUUCUUUUACAUUUUACCUACUUAAAAAUCUUUAUAUUAAUUUUAAUAUUUAAUAUAAAACUCCUGACUGUUCAGGCAGUUUAUAGAGAUUAAUUUCAGUCUUGCCUAUAAGGCAGAGAAGUCCUGUCUCCAUUUCACUGAUGUAGAAAUGGUAACUUGCCCAAAGUUGGCUUAGUAAGUCUGCAGUGAGCUAAGGUUUACACCCUCAGUUCUUCUAUGCCCCAAGUCCAACAGAGCUCUUCUGUACCUUAAACAAAGCAAUACCAAUGUAAGCUCAGUUUUCUUUCACUCCAGUUACAGAGAUGUUAAAUUGUUUCUGUUCCUUGUCCUAUACUAGCAUAAUUUAAAGGGAAAUUAAGACAGCCAUAAAAUAGAUUCCCUGCAUUUUGUUUGAUGCUUCUUUGCAUUGUUAUGUUCUUGUUGAUUUGUUCUAUUUUCUGUGAACACUACUGUGGAAGCAAAUCAGAGAGAUUAGCAGUUGUAGGAGAAGGGUAAUAUCCUUCACUUUAAGUUGACUGGUGCAUCUUGCUGCUGGUCAAAAGCUGCUGCCGUUGGAGCACUGUGAGGAACUGUCAUCACAUGAGGAAUUGAGCAUAAUGGUGUCAUGCCAGGUGUGUAUCUUUUCACCAUUCACUUGUAGAAAAGCAAAGACUAAUGAAAUAAAGAACAUUCAUGGACAAAUACCCAGAAUAUAAUGCUAACUUAACACAUUUCUACAUCUGGAUUCUGCUGGUUUGCUGGGGUUUUGAGGUUUGAUAGCAAUGUAUUGCUUCUCUACACUUUUGGUUAUUUAGAUGUUUUCUUUCCUAGAUUUCUCGAUUUUGUGCUUCCUUGUGUUUUUUUUCCCUUACUUGUAUUUUAAGUGUAAAGUUUUACCUUGUAAUUUGCAUUACACCAGUAGUGUUGUGUCCACUUCUGGGCUCCCCACCACAAGAAAUGGAUGGGGCUACAGGAAAGGGACAUGAAGAUGAUGAACUGGA
Molecule: RNA transcript, 4764 nt
Organism: Empidonax traillii (willow flycatcher)
Lineage: Eukaryota; Metazoa; Chordata; Aves; Passeriformes; Tyrannidae
Gene: SLC35B3
Gene name: solute carrier family 35 member B3
Exons: 11
Source: RefSeq, a predicted model, not a curated record